CAAUUUAGAAGUCAAUAAUAGACAUUCUUGAUAUGAAAUUAGCUAGAAAAAAGUAGGGGUAUUUCAUUUCUUUUACAAUUUUAGCUGAUUCUGUAGCAGAAUCUCUGUUCUGGACUAAAGUAAUUUCAACAGUCGUAGAAGUGAGCUCAUCUCAAUUUCAUCUUAACUUGUCUUCAACAGAGUUUAGAGGAUAAAAUGGAGGUUGUCAUAGCUACUACUCUUUUGAGAUCAACAGAUGAUUCAUCAGAAGAUCAAGAACUCGAUAUAAAUCGUGUGUACUUUGAUGUUGCGGGUGGAGCAAAAAAAUAAUGUGUGUAUGGAUUGGGCUCUCAAGCUUCAACCUUGUAUAAAGAUAUGCCAUGCAAUUAGCCUGUAGUGUCCGAUCAUGUUGCCGAAGAGCGCAUCAAAAUACUUGAGAAAAAUCAAUAGAGAGUUUAGCAAGAGCGUGUCGAGUCGGAGGUGCAACAACGAGUAGAGCAAGAGGUUUCUUGUUUGAGGCAACAAAGUGAUGAUCGAUUCAAAUCUAUAGAGGAGCAAUGGUCUCGCAUGAUGAGCGAUAUGACAUUAUCUUCUUUCUUAUUUAGUAAUCCUACUCUCCCUAAUAGGGACUUAUCUAAUGCUUAAGUGUUUAAUAUUUUGAGACUUUAGAUACUUGAAGUGUCGACUUGAACAUUGUCACACUGUCGACACCCAAUUUUGGCUCUCCAUACUUAGAAUUAACGCAUUUAGGCUCUCUAAUCGUUAAAUGACAUAAUAUGUAAUUUUUCACA
Molecule: long non-coding RNA, 770 nt
Organism: Capsicum annuum
Lineage: Eukaryota; Viridiplantae; Streptophyta; Magnoliopsida; Solanales; Solanaceae
Exons: 2
Source: RefSeq, a predicted model, not a curated record